CCUACGGGUGGCAGCAGUAGGGAAUUUUCGUCAAUGGGGGGAACCCUGACCGAGCAACGCCGCGUGAACGAAGAAGUUAUUCGUAAUGUAAAGUUCUUUUAACAGGGAAGUAAGAGAAAUUUGACGGUACCUGUAGAAUAUGCUCCGUCUAACUACGUGCCAGCAGCCGCGGUAAUACGUAGGGGUCGUACGUUAUCCGGAAUUAUUGGGCGUAAGGGUUGCGUUGAUGGCAUAGUAAGUCUUUGGUAAAAAUGCUGGGCUAAACCCAGUAGGGCAAAAGAUACUGGAAAGCUAGAGUAUGACAGAGGCAAGUGGAACUACAUGUGUAGCGGUAAAAUGCGUAAAUAUAAGUAAGAACACCAGUGGCGAAGGCGGCUUGCUGGGUCGAUACUGACAUUGAGGCACGAAAGCGUGGGGAGCAAACAGGAUUAGAUACCCGUGUAGUC
RNAcentral lists this ribosomal RNA (446 nucleotides) under uncultured bacterium. RNAcentral describes it as "partial 16S ribosomal RNA". It matches the Rfam family "Bacterial small subunit ribosomal RNA", at positions 338 to 795 of the family's 1533-position model. The record is from RNAcentral.